CAGUCGACCUAGAAGAAUCGAUACUUUUGCUGUCUGCUUGAUCACCCUUCCCAAACGAUUUAUCAACACUUUCAUCGUCAAUGGAUUGAGUUUCCUCAUUGGGAUGCUCUAGAGAAGACCUCGUGAUAACAGAUGCGUUCUUAAUUAUUUCUUCUUUAAGCCAAUUAGGCACAGAAGCCUUUUUAGGGCGUUCAGAAACAUUAGAAACACCAUAAGCAUCACCUGGGAAACCUGCUGUAGGAUGAAGUGCAGUUCCUGGACCAAGAACAUAUGGCA
RNAcentral lists this unclassified non-coding RNA (276 nucleotides) under Hevea brasiliensis (rubber tree). Lineage: Eukaryota; Viridiplantae; Streptophyta; Magnoliopsida; Malpighiales; Euphorbiaceae. The record is from RNAcentral.